GGGCCCGCACAAGCGGUGGAGCAUGUGGUUUAAUUCGAUGAUACGCGAGGAACCUUACCAGGGCUUAAAUGUAGUCUGACAGCUUUAGAGAUAAAGUUUUCUUCGGACAGAUUACAAGGUGCUGCAUGGUUGUCGUCAGCUCGUGCCGUGAGGUGUCAGGUUAAGUCCUAUAACGAGCGCAACCCCUGUUGUUAGUUGCCAGCGAGUAAUGUCGGGAACUCUAACAAGACUGCCGGUGCAAACCGUGAGGAAGGUGGGGAUGACGUCAAAUCAUCACGGCCCUUACGUCCUGGCCACACACGUGCUACAAUGGCAGUGACAAUGGGUUAAUCCCAAAAAGCUGUCUCAGUU
Molecule: ribosomal RNA, 351 nt
Filed under: uncultured bacterium
Lineage: Bacteria
Description: bacterial SSU rRNA
Rfam family: Bacterial small subunit ribosomal RNA
Source: RNAcentral